CAUUAUGAACAGUGGAAGAUAUUCAAUAGCUUGACUCAAAACACUCUUCUUCUCAAUAUACAAAUGUAUAACAAAGGCAUACAAUUACAUACAAGUGCCAAACAAACAUCCCUUCAGGGUAUAAUACUGUAGGGAUCUAUCAGGGUAGAACCCUCCUGUAACAUACCCUGAUAGACUCCUCCUGUAUUAUAUCAGGGUAUACUACAGGAGGGUUCUAUCAGGGUAUAAUCCAGGAGGGUUCUAUCAGGGUAUUCUACAGGAGGGUUCUAUCAGGGUAUAAUACAGGAGGGUUCUAUCAGGGUAUAAUCCAGGAGGGUUCUAUCAGGGUAUAAUCCAGGAGGGUUCUAUCAGGGUAUUCUACAGGAGGGUUCUAUCAGGGUAUAAUCCAGGAGGGUUCUAUCAAGGUAUACCACAGGAGGGUUCUAUCAGGGUAUAAUAGAGGAGGGUUCUAUCAGGGUAUAAUACAGGAGGGUUCUAUCAGGGUAUAAUCCAGGAGGGUUCUAUCAGGGUAUUCUACAGGAGGGUUCUAUCAGGGUAUAAUCCAGGAGGGUUCUAUCAAGGUAUACCACAGGAGGGUUCUAUCAGGGUAUAAUCCAGGAGGGUUCUAUCAAAUUAUACCACAGGAGGGUUCUAUCAGGGUAUAAUCCAGGAGGGUUCUAUCAGGGUAUAAUCCAGGAGGGUUCUAUCAAGGUAUACCACAGGAGGGUUCUAUCAGGGUAUAAUAGAGGAGGGUUCUAUCAGGGUAUAAUAGAGGAGGGUUCUAUCAGGGUACAAUACAGGAGGGUUCUAUCAGGGUAUAAUACCAUAGGGUCUAUCAGGGUAUAGUACAGGAGGGUUAUAUCAGGGUAUAAUACAGGAGGGACCUAUCAGGGUAUAGCACAGGAGGGUUCUAUCAGGGUAUAAUAGAGGAGGGUUCUAUCAGGGUAUAAUAGAGGAGGGUUCUAUCAGGGUAUAAUACAGGAGGGUUCUAUCAGGGUAUAUUACAGGAGGGUUCUAUCAGGGUAUAAUAGAGGAGGGUUCUAUCAGGGUAUAAUAGAGGAGGGUUCUAUCAGGGUAUAAUACAGGAGGGUUCUAUCAGGG
This is a long non-coding RNA of Oncorhynchus tshawytscha (Chinook salmon), 1080 nucleotides long. RefSeq lists it as uncharacterized. The transcript is spliced from 2 exons. The record is from RefSeq and is a predicted model, not a curated record. Lineage: Eukaryota; Metazoa; Chordata; Actinopteri; Salmoniformes; Salmonidae.